This 469-nucleotide ribosomal RNA is filed under the name uncultured bacterium. Its description in RNAcentral is "bacterial SSU rRNA". It matches the Rfam family "Bacterial small subunit ribosomal RNA", at positions 28 to 508 of the family's 1533-position model. The record is from RNAcentral.
GACGAACGCUGGCGGCGUGCCUAACACAUGCAAGUCGAGCGGAGAUCAAGGAGAGCUUGCUCAAAUUGAUUUUAGCGGCGGACGGGUGAGUAACGCGUGAGCAAUCUGUCCUACACAGGGGGAUAACAGCUGGAAACAGCUGCUAAUACCGCAUAAGACCACAGUACCGCAUGGCACAAGGGUCAAAGAUUUAUCGGUGUAGGGUGAGCUCGCGUCCCAUUAGAUAGUUGGCGGGGUAACGGCCCACCAAGUCGACGAUGGGUAGCCGACCUGAGAGGGUGAUCGGCCACACUGGGACUGAGACCACGGGCCCAAACUCCUACGGGAGGCAGCAGUGGGGAAUAUUGCACAAUGGGGGAAACCCUGAUGCAGCGACGCCGCGUGAGUGAAGAAGUAUUUCGGUACGUAAAGCUCUAUCAGCAAGGAGAAAAAGCGGUACUUGACUAAGAAGCCCCGGCUAACUACGUAG